This 373-nucleotide ribosomal RNA is filed under the name Peronia verruculata. RNAcentral's name for it is "partial large subunit ribosomal RNA". It matches the Rfam family "Archaeal large subunit ribosomal RNA", at positions 2017 to 2658 of the family's 2987-position model. The record is from RNAcentral. Lineage: Eukaryota; Metazoa; Mollusca; Gastropoda; Systellommatophora; Onchidiidae.
CUCUGACUGUGCUAAGGUAGCGUAAUCAGUUGGCUUUUAAAUGGAGUCGAGCAUGAAUGGGUCUACGGAAAUAAGCUGUCUCUUUUUGGUUAUAUUGAAGUUUCUUUAAGGGUGCAAAGUCCCUUGAUUAGAAAAAAGACGAGAAGACCCUUAGAGUUUUUAUUAAAGAUAAGAAUUUAUUCAAGUUUUUGCUGGGGCGGCAAAGAGACAAGUGAUUAAACUCUCUUUUUAUUGUUUUUAGAAGACGAAAAUGUUAAGAAUCAUUAAACUACCUUAGGGAUAACAGCAUAAUUAAGUUUUAGUUUGUGACCUCGAUGUUGGACUAGGAAGACUUUUGACCAGCAGUCAAAAAGUGUGGUUCUGUUCGAACUAA